This is a non-coding RNA of Schistosoma curassoni, 45 nucleotides long. NCBI's taxonomy places the organism in Eukaryota, Metazoa, Platyhelminthes, Trematoda, Strigeidida, Schistosomatidae. The record is from Rfam.
AUAUAGAUGACAAGUCCCAAAUAGGACGAAACACGUAUCCUGCAU